UGCUCACGCAUUUCUUUUCUUAUCCCCAUGAGAGUCCCGUCAGAGUCUCUGUUUCCUAGGAAGUGUAUUAUUCCUAUGGAUGGUCUUUUCUCCUGUUUUUUUCUUUUCUUCUUUGUGGACUCAUAUUCCCCACAGAGAUAGUUUGUUUUGCAUUCAUACAUUUGCAUCAUGAGGUCGCUCAAGGACCAAAAUUCGUCUCAUUAUUGUUAUUUAAGCCCAUUUCUACCGCAUCGAGAUGAAGACUUUAAC
RNAcentral lists this long non-coding RNA (249 nucleotides) under Lathyrus oleraceus (garden pea). Its description in RNAcentral is "Pisum sativum (pea) long non-coding RNA (PSAT_LNC023874)". Lineage: Eukaryota; Viridiplantae; Streptophyta; Magnoliopsida; Fabales; Fabaceae. The record is from RNAcentral.